CCAAUAGCGUAUAUUAAAGUUGUUGUGGUUAAAAAGCUCGUAGUUGAACCUUGGGCCUGGCUGGCCGGUCCGCCUCACCGCGUGCACUGGUCCGGCCGGGCCUUUCCCUCUGUGGAACCCCAUGCCCUUCACUGGGUGUGGCGGGGAAACAGGACUUUUACUUUGAAAAAAUUAGAGUGCUCCAGGCAGGCCUAUGCUCGAAUACAUUAGCAUGGAAUAAUGAAAUAGGACGUGCGGUUCUAUUUUGUUGGUUUCUAGGACCGCCGUAAUGAUUAAUAGGGACAGUCGGGGGCAUCAGUAUUCAAUUGUCAGAGGUGAAAUUCUUGGAUUUAUUGAAGACUAACUACUGCGAAAGCAUUUGCCAAGGAUGUUUUCAUUAAUCAGGAACGAAAGUUAGGGGAUCGAAGACGAUCAGAUACCGUCGUAGUCUUAACCAUAAACUAUGCCGACUAGGGAUCGGACGAUGUUAUUUUUUGACUCGUUCGGCACCUUACG
Molecule: ribosomal RNA, 495 nt
Filed under: uncultured Glomeromycotina
Lineage: Eukaryota; Fungi; Glomeromycota
Description: partial small subunit ribosomal RNA
Rfam family: Eukaryotic small subunit ribosomal RNA
Source: RNAcentral